AGCUCAUAUCAGCCGUUAUCAUCAGCCAAACUGGUUGAGCUCUAACACGCAGCCUCAGAUACUUUAAUCAGUGAUAAUGUGAGAUAAUUAUCAGUUUUAAAAUGGAUUACUGGCCAUGACACGUCUUAUGAAUUAAACACUCCUCCUCUAAAGGCCUUGAUUCACAGAACCAUGACCCUCAGAGUCAUGAUCACUGUCCAGGCUUUUGCAAAGCAGCAAAUGCUUGGACAGUUUUCACAGAACAGUGUGUUCCCUCAGCCGGUGUUCAGCCUCCAUGCGAGAGAAGCUCCUCUCCCUCCUCACAUGCACCUGAUGAGAUGAGCAGCUUCAGCUCGUGCAAGCUUCACUUGAUGUCAUGCAUCACAACAACAUGCUGCUCUCUUCUCUGCACCCCCAUCAGCGGGACUGAUCUGUAUCACGGAGGCCUGGCUGAUGGAUGUGCCCUCACUGAUUCUCCUGCUGCAGCAGCAGCUAAUGCUAAAAUAUGAUGAUCCAAGGAACACUGCUGUCGUUAACAAGGUGUAGUCAACAUCUGCCUCCAUCACCCUCCUCCUCCUCCCUCCAAGUCUGUUGUUUCCAGUGUCUGGACAAUGCGACUAAAUGGGUGUGCACACCGCCACCAAACCCCCCCAUCACCACCACCUCUCCUCAGCCGGAGCUCUUCCCAUCUCCGGCGCGCUUCUGUCCGUACACACACGUGCUGGAUUCACGGUCUGAUCUCGAAUCACCCGGAGCAGCUGUGCACAGUGAAACAAUGGUGGCCGCUGGCUAACGUUAGCAAAAAGCUAACCGUGUGCCCCCCCCCCCUCCCCAUCCUCCCUCCAUUAGAACAAGAUGCUGUAAAUCGCAUCAUCCAGGUGAUGGUGACACACAGGUGUGAUAUUUAACCCCGAACUAAGCAGCGGGUUUAAAAACCCAGCGGGUAACGUUGUUAGCUUCAGUUAGCUAACAACCGACACAAGGGGGUCAGGACCGGCUGAGCAGACUGAUAUUUAGGUAGCUACAAUGCUAACAGGGAGACAGGCGGGUGUUUCAUCGCCCGUGUUCCGCGGCGCUUUCCCCAGCUCCGGCAGCUGUGCCGGGGGAUGGUCUCCACAACCGCUGAGACAGAGGCACCGCCAAGAGGCGAGGUGAGACGAGUGAUGCCUCGAUACGUUGAAAACACCCCACCACUAACAACACGGGCUUAACAAGGUGCGACAUCCUCUGUCCUGAAUCCUCAACAAGAGUAAGGAAACCACAAUCAGAUGAAAUCACGAUCCACAAUCCACCAUCAUGACCCACAAUCCACCACCAUGAUCCACCACCAUGCUGCACAAUCAGCUGCCACCACGAUCAGAAUUUGUCCCUGGCUGUUUUACUUAAAGAAGUCAGACACAUUGAACGUGGAGUAGGGUUUCAGAGUCAACCAGUCAGAGAGCAGCAUACUGCACAGACGAGAGGGGACGAGUCACACCUGUGAGCAAACAUGUGCUACGAGACUGAUUCACUGAGAUGAUAAGAGGGAAUGACGAGACUAAAAAUAGAACAACACUGGUCAUUUGACCUAUUUGUGUUUUUAUUAUUGCGUGAAGUACUUUGUAACUUGAAAAACAAAUAAGAUAAAU
This is a non-coding RNA of Paralichthys olivaceus (Japanese flounder), 1607 nucleotides long. NCBI's taxonomy places the organism in Eukaryota, Metazoa, Chordata, Actinopteri, Pleuronectiformes, Paralichthyidae. The record is from RefSeq and is a predicted model, not a curated record.